This 1473-nucleotide ribosomal RNA is filed under the name uncultured Bordetella sp. Its description in RNAcentral is "partial 16S-23S ribosomal RNA intergenic spacer". It matches the Rfam family "Bacterial small subunit ribosomal RNA". Lineage: Bacteria; Pseudomonadati; Pseudomonadota; Betaproteobacteria; Burkholderiales; Alcaligenaceae. The record is from RNAcentral.
GUUUGAUCAUGGCUCAGAUUGAACGCUGGCGGGAUGCUUUACACAUGCAAGUCGAACAGCGGCACGGACUUCGGUCUGGUGACGAGUGGCGAACGGGUGAGCAAUGUAUCGGAACGUGCUAGUAGCGGUGGAUAACUACGCGAAAGCGUAGCUAAUACCGCAUACGCCCAUCGGGGAAAGCGGGGGACCUUCGGGCCUCGCACUAUUAGAGCGGCCCGACUCGGAUUGGCUAGUUGGUGGGGUAACGGCUCACCAAGGCGACGAUCCGUAGCUGGUUUGAAGGACGACAGCCACACUGGGACUGAGACACGGCCCAGACUCCUACAGGAGGCAGCAGUGGGGAAUUUUGGACAAUGGGGGAAACCCUGAUCCAGCCAUCCCGCGUGUGCGAUGAAGGCCUUCGGGUUGUAAAGCACUUUUGGCAGGAAAGAAACGGCCUGGGGUAAUACCCCGUACAGGCUGAUACCUGCAGAAUAAGCACCGGCUAACUACGUGCCAGCAGCCGCGGUAAUACGUAGGGUGCAAGCGUUAAUCGGAAUUACUGGGCGUAAAGCGUGCGCGGGCGGUUCCGGAAAGAAAGAUGUGAAAUCCCAGAGCUUAACUUUGGAACUGCAUUUUUAACUACCGAGCUAGAGUGUGUCAGAGGGAGGUGGAAUUCCGCGUGUAGCAGUGAAAUGCAUAGAUAUGCGGAGAGGAACACGAUGGCGGCGGCCUCUGGUUCUUCCACCGGCAACUGUGCAAAGUGGAACCAGCAAGUUGAGCUGCCCUGCCGGUGGAGAAACUCUGCCUGGCAGAUAUCAGCAACCAUCUCUUCGGAACCUGAACACCAGUAGCGCAUAUGUGUGCGUGAAGUUGGCCGCCUGGAAAUGGUCACGGUCGCUCAAGGAAUAUGACGGGGACCACACAAGCAGGGUCGGAUGAUGUGGAUUCAAUUCGAUGCAACACCCGAAAAACCUUACCUACCUGACAUAUCUGGAAUCCCGAAGAGAUCUGGGAGUGCUCGCAAGAGAACCGGAACACAGGUGCUGCAUGGCUGUCGUCAGCUCGUGUCGUAGAGAUGUUGAUUCAAGUCCGCAACCCGAGCGCAGCCUUGUCGUGUAGUUGCUACGAAGGGCACUCUAUUGAGACUGCCGGUGACAAACCGGAGGAAGGUGGGGAUGACGUCAAGUCUCCAUGGCCCAUAUGGGUAGGGCUUGCACGUCAUACAAUGGUCGGGACAGAGGGUCGCCAGCCCGCGAGGGAGCCAAUCCCAGAAACCCGAUCGUAGUCCGGAUCGCAGUCUGCAACUCGACUGCGUGAAGUCGAAUCUUUAAUAAUCGCGGAUCAGCAUGUCGCGGUGAAUACGUUCCCGGGUCUUGUACACACCGCCCGUCACACCAUGGGAGUGGGUUUUACCAGAAGUAGUUAGCCUAACCGUAAGGAGGCGAUUACCACGGUAGGAUUCAUGACUGGGGUAAGUCAGCAACAAGGUAG